GGCUCAAUGGUCUAGUAGUAUGAUUCCUGCUUCGGGUUUUCACACCCGCGAGGGUUCUUCCCACGCUUCUAAUGCAGGAGGUCUCGGGUUCAAUUCCCGAUUGAGCCC
RNAcentral lists this transfer RNA (108 nucleotides) under Irpex rosettiformis. Its description in RNAcentral is "tRNA-Pro". It matches the Rfam family "tRNA". From Rfam's summary of the family: Transfer RNA (tRNA) molecules are approximately 80 nucleotides in length. Their secondary structure includes four short double-helical elements and three loops (D, anti-codon, and T loops). Lineage: Eukaryota; Fungi; Basidiomycota; Agaricomycetes; Polyporales; Irpicaceae. The record is from RNAcentral.